CAGCAGCCACGGUAAUACGAAGGGUGCAAGCGUUAAUCGGAAUUACUGGGCGUAAAGCGUGCGUAGGCGGUGAGUUAAGUCUGCUGUGAAAUCCCCGGGCUCAACCUGGGAAUGGCAGUGGAUACUGGCUCGCUAGAGUGUGUCAGAGGAUGGUGGAAUUCCCGGUGUAGCGGUGAAAUUCGUAGAUAUUGGGAAGAACACCGGUGGCGAAGGCGGCAACCUGGCUCAUUACUGACGCUGAGGCGCGAAAGCGUGGGGAGCAAACAGGAUUAGAUACCCCCGUAGUCCCUGUCUCUUAUAC
Molecule: ribosomal RNA, 301 nt
Filed under: uncultured bacterium
Lineage: Bacteria
Description: partial 16S ribosomal RNA
Rfam family: Bacterial small subunit ribosomal RNA
Source: RNAcentral